RNAcentral lists this ribosomal RNA (253 nucleotides) under uncultured bacterium. Its description in RNAcentral is "partial 16S ribosomal RNA". It matches the Rfam family "Bacterial small subunit ribosomal RNA", at positions 524 to 776 of the family's 1533-position model. The record is from RNAcentral.
UACGGGGGGGGCAAGCGUUGUUCGGAAUUACUGGGCGUAAAGGGCUCGUAAGCGGCCCUCUCAGUCGGAUGUGAAAUCCCCAGGCUUAACCUGGGAACGGCAUCCGAUACUGGAGGGCUUGAAUUCGGGAGAGGGAUGCAGAAUUCCAGGUGUAGCGGUGAAAUGCGUAGAUAUCUGGAGGAAUACCGGUGGCGAAGGCGGCAUCCUGGACCGAGAUUGACGCUGAGGAGCGAAAGCUAGGGGAGCAAACGGG